UACGGGGGGGGCAAGCGUUGUCCGGAAUUACUGGGCGUAAAGGGCUCGUAGGCGGCCAGCUAAGUCAGACGUGAAAUCCCUCGGCUUAACCGGGGAACUGCGUCUGAUACUGGAUGGCUUGAGUUUGGGAGAGGGAUGCGGAAUUCCAGGUGUAGCGGUGAAAUGCGCAGAUAUCAGGAGGAACACCGAUUGCGAAGGCAGCUCGCUGGAACGUUACUGACGCUGAGACGCGAAAGCGUGGGGAGCAAACAGG
RNAcentral lists this ribosomal RNA (253 nucleotides) under uncultured bacterium. RNAcentral describes it as "partial 16S ribosomal RNA". It matches the Rfam family "Bacterial small subunit ribosomal RNA", at positions 524 to 776 of the family's 1533-position model. The record is from RNAcentral.